CGGACGGGUGAGUAACGCGUGGAUAACCUACCUAUAAGACUGGGAUAACUUCGGGAAACCGGAGCUAAUACCGGAUAAUAUAUUGAACCGCAUGGUUCAAUAGUGAAAGACGGUUUUGCUGUCACUUAUAGAUGGAUCCGCGCCGCAUUAGCUAGUUGGUAAGGUAACGGCUUACCAAGGCGACGAUGCGUAGCCGACCUGAGAGGGUGAUCGGCCACACUGGAACUGAGACACGGUCCAG
RNAcentral lists this ribosomal RNA (241 nucleotides) under uncultured Staphylococcus sp. RNAcentral's name for it is "partial 16S ribosomal RNA". It matches the Rfam family "Bacterial small subunit ribosomal RNA", at positions 99 to 334 of the family's 1533-position model. The record is from RNAcentral. Lineage: Bacteria; Bacillati; Bacillota; Bacilli; Caryophanales; Staphylococcaceae.